GAAUGUUCCACCCUAAGAUGGUGUGUUCCUGCACACCAUCGGACUAGAAAGAUGUUGACUUGGAAAUGAGCCUUACGUGAUCUUCAGCUGUUGCAGUUUCAGGUAGCCCUGCUGGCUUCAAAUUUGCUGUACAGUAGUGACUGACCUUGCAUUUCCGAUCUCCCUCCCUCUACUCUCCAAGUGUGUGGCACUACACCUGUCCUUUCACUGUAAAACAAUUGGCAUUUAAACCUAAACACUUGUUUGUUGAGAUGGAAUCUUAUAGUCCAGGCUGGUCUAAAGCUCUUGAUCUUCCCACCUUAGCUUCCUGGUGCUGGGAUUUGUUAUAGAUUUGUGCCAUCCCCCACCCCUGACAACACACAUAAAACUGGUCUUUAUAGCCAUGCCUGCUGACAUACAACUGCAAUGCCAGCUACCCAGGAGGUGUGAAAGGGUAGAUGGGACAAUAGAUCAGCCAGCGGUAGGAAGUUUGCCUAACAUGGGUGAGGCCCUGGGGUUCAUCCCAGGACUGUAACACUGUUCUAUCACCACCUAAAUGAACAAACAAACAAACAAACACUUCUCUGAAACUUAGGUUUAGACAUUUAGUACCGUCAGUAUGUCUGGGCCUGGCUUUGGGGUGGAACCCACAUCCUGAGUUGAACCCGUAGACCAUGAACAGGUUUCUGAACUACUUGAGCAUGAACUUUUGCAUGACUGGCCAUGUGAGCCUUCAGAUGGCAUUUGGUGACUGAAUUGAGAUGGUAGAGGAUAAAUUUGGGAGGUUACAGUUGUCAGCAUUUCAGAUAGUUGCAUGGCAUCCCGUGGAAAAUGCAACAGCAAGAACCAAAUACCACAGGCAUGUGCACCGCUUCUCCAGCCUCUUCACUUCACGCUUCUGUCAUCUGGGAUGAAAACUUAAGCACAGUUCUUAUAAAAAUAGCUCACUUGUCCCAAUCUCCUGCUAUAUAUACACUAGACUUGGUCAAACCACAUCCUGCACGCAGCCUUUGGCUCACUGAACAGCACUCAUAUGCCAUGCAUGAGCUACUGCAUGUCCAGACGGAAAUAGCACUCCCGGACUCAUAGUAAAGACAUUUAUUUUUAGGUGUUAUGAGUGAUAUAUUAGAAUUACACAGAAGGAAAGCUAGACUGGAGGAGAGCAAAGUGCACAACUGAGAUCCCAGCCAUUUUCUGUCUACACUGCUGCACGUCUCAUCCUUGGACCACAGUCCAAGGGAUGCUUUCAGGUGGACUAACGUUACAUAGCUCUCAUAAUGUACCUGGCACGGCUUUCACUUUCUUCUUUCUCCCCCUCCCUCCCUCCCUCCCUCCCUUCCUUCCUUCCCUUUUUAGCAUAGGGUCUCUCUCUAUAGCCUAGGUUGACCUUGAACUCAUUAUGGCGUCUAGACCGACUUAGAAGUCAUGAUCCUCCAGCCUGAAUAUCCCAAGUAUUAGGAUUAUAGAUAUGCACCACUGAGCCUGGAUCAGGGUUUAGUUUUUACAUACUUCCAGAAGAGCUUAGGUAUCAGUGAGUCCGAGGGCAGCUCCAGGAGAGAACAGUCCAGCCAGGCAUGGUUCCAGCUGAGAUGGGACUGAGAUGGGACUGCCUGUCUGUAGGGCCGUGCCACUCCCUCCUGCUCAUAGUUGAAAGUGUGUCCCUUUCCUACAGCUGUGGGAGUCAAAGCCUGGAGAGGUCAAGGGUCACAGCUAGAAGACAAAGCUAAUUCACUCCCUUCCCCAGUUCUCCAAGCCUGGGCCGUAACCUUGCUGCGUCUCAUGUCUGUCAGCUGCCAGUUCUAAGGCACUGCCGAAUAGCUUCCUCUAAACAUUGUGGGUGUUUUCAAAAUGAUCUGCCAGCGCAGAGACUGGUGUGUGCUACCUUCACUUCUGUCUGGCUUCACCUUUUUUGGUAUGGAAGUCUUAGAUUGGUGGAGAUUAAACAGAAAAUCCAGGAAGGAGCUAGUGUCCAGUAAAGCACCUGAUUUAUUUGCCUUUUCUGGGUUUUCCCAGAUGUAGAAGACCUUGAUGCUGAUGCAAAGCUUUGCACCUCAUUAGCAACAAAGACACUGGAGGACGUGUUAAUUUAACUACCCGACUGGCAGCUGUUCGACUUCUCUUGUACCUUGGCUGUCCCCGGACAGAACAACUGUCAAGCAGUCCACUGAGUUACCCUGAAGCUGACGGUCAUGCUGUUCUCCACAGAUCUCUUGAGAAAAACCUACAAUUGCAGCUGCUUGCUUUGACUCCCGGAAGUGACACUUUGGGACUUCAGGCCUGGUUCACUUUAUACCAACUUUUUUUUUUUUUUUUUUAAUGACAAACCUCAGUGAGCCCUAGAUGGCCCUGCAGCUGUCCCCACCUAGGUGAGAGGCGAAGCACCUCUCCGGGUAGACCAACAGAAGCACCUCUGAGACUGGAACUCAAGGAAGGGCUGUGCUGAUUGGUACAAAUGUAACCUUCAUUUGCAUGUGAAGUUUGUUGUGAUUGGUGGAAACCACCUCUUCUCUGGCUCUAGAAACGUGGUUGAGUACACUUGAUGAAUCAGCCAAGAGAUCCCCACCCCACCCCCACCCAAUACUGUCUGUCCUGAUGUUAAACACAAAAAACAAACAAAAAAAGGGCCUAAAAAAAGGGCUUGUUUUGGGUGGUCCUUUCUUGUCCAGUUGUAGAAGUGUGGGCUGAGCCUGGAGCAGGAUAAAAAUUAGCAGAGCAGAGUGACCCGGAUGCAGAGACACCAACAAAACAGCAGAAGCAGAAAUGGUUGAACCACCGGUUGGCAGGCCAAGCUGCGAAGAGCAGCAGGCAGCCCGCUGCUUAACUGCUUUAGAAUAGUGGCGGAGGAGUUAAAGAGAAUGACUUGGGCUGGAGCAUGGCGGGAGGCAGAGGGAGGAUUCAGAACUGAAGAAGAAGGAAGACCAUAAGUGUCAGCAAAGAGAAACUGUAGGUCCUGGUCCCCAGAGAAGUUUCAGAGAGUUCUCAAACCUUUAAGGCAAAGGGCCUCAGCCUCUCCAAAUCCAGGAGCUGUAACAGUGGCCAGUCAAAAGCCAAGGAAUCGUGCAAUGCCUGCUUCUGCCAAGAGCUAAGGAGUCCCAUUCUCGUCUUGCACAAAUAGCUGUAACAUGGAAGUUGGUAUCUCCCUAUGGGAACCCUGCUGGACUGUUCUAGAGGACACUGCCUGCUGCUGCAUCCUCCCGCUGGUGCUGGCUCCUUACUGUCAAACCCAGAGGGAUGUGACAAAUGUCGAAGACCAGCACUGGAAGAGUUUCUUGCCUAUGCACCAUCUUGGUAGAGGAAAGCUUGGAAUCCCACUAAGCUGAUAGGUAAGGAGGGCCUUUAAAAUUCUUCAGGGCAUCUUAUGAUGCCUGGUCGAAAUAGAAUAGAAAUAGAAUAUUAAAGCUUCCC
RNAcentral lists this long non-coding RNA (3384 nucleotides) under Mus pahari (shrew mouse). Its description in RNAcentral is "lncRNA (MGP_PahariEiJ_G0006384.1)". Lineage: Eukaryota; Metazoa; Chordata; Mammalia; Rodentia; Muridae. The record is from RNAcentral.